AAUGUCGUGAGUUGAAUUGGUGGGUCUAACAUUGAAACCUCACCACCGACCACACCUCCCUCCAUAUUUCAAUUACAGCUUUGUUCAAUUUGUUGUCUCUUGAGAUUCCGACCGACGACGAUAGUUACUCAACCACUAAACGUUACCCUAUCUCAGAACAAAAAAUAUGGAGCACGAUGAGGACCGAUUGUCGAAUCUACCGAAAGUCAUUCUUCAUAGCAUCAUGUCGAGAUUACCAGAAGAAGAUGCUGCUAAGACAAGUGUUUUGUCUAAAGAUUGGUUAGAAACAUGGUAUACUUUUCCUAUAUUGUCUUUUUCUGAUUCUCAAAUCACUGGGUUGUUUCCUCCAUCUGAUUUAGGGAGAAUGUUGUUUCCCGAAUCAAUGGAUGAUUUUGUGACAAAGAUAGAAAAUUUCAUUGAUUAUGUGAAGAGAAGAUUGUUGAGGUUCUACGAUAAUGGAUUGGCUAUCAAAAAAUUUAAGCUUGUUGUGGACAAUGUUGAGCUAUGUAGUUACAUCUUAAUGGAUGUUGAUCUUUGGUUGAAGUUGGCAGGUGAAAGUGGUGUUGAAGUACUAGACCUUUAUUUGCCUGAUGGUCCCGACCAGGAUGAAGAAGGUGGCAUUAAAUACUAUGUCCUACCAAAAGGUGUAAUUGAAGUCAAAUCGCUUACUGAGUUAGUGUUGAUGCCGGGAAUCGGAGUUGAUACAGCAUUCAUGAAUCAUUCAAUUAAAUUUUUCUCACUAAGAGUAUUGUCAUUGUGGGGUGUCCUUGUGAGAGACGAACAUGCAAUCGAACAUCUCAUUUCUUGUUGUCCUUUGAUUGAACAUAUAACUGUGAGCUUUUGUUCAGUGUUGCGCCCUAAUGGCGCAACAAAUCGUCUACUUGAGGGGAGCAUGAAGUCUUUGAGUAUGGUUGGUCUACUUAAGUUGAAGACGGUUGAUGUUCGAGGAAUACAAGAGAUUUACAUUGACGCCCCGUGUCUUGAGAAAUUAUUUUAUUGUCCUGGUUAUUUUGACGAACCAUUUAAGAUUGAUUUUGAUAGGUGCCAAAAUUUGAAAUAUUUGUCUCUGAUGAGAGAUAUUAUCACUGACAAAUGGUUUCUCGAACUGUUUCCAAAAUUUCCUUUCCUUGAGAGUUUGAAAUUGAACAACUGUACAAUGGCCGAGAGGAUUGAUAUUUCAAGUGAUCAACUUAAGGUGUUGGGGUUAUCUAAUUGUUCUAACUUGAAGGAGGUCAACAUUGAUGCUCCAAAUCUAUUAUCAUGUGUAUAUCACGGUGAUUGUAGUUUAGAGACUAUUAUAUCUUUUCUAAGAAGUUCUAGUCAGCUAAAAGUUGAUAUGGAUUUUUCCAUUGAUUAUCGUCAUCUUUGUAACUUGAGGGAAUUUGUGCAAAACAUCAAACCUCAAAAUGUUUUGUCAUCUCUAUCCCUGUUCAUCUUUAAGCGAAUUGCGGAUGUACUACACCCGAUGGUAUUUCAAGUGUCAUCCCCUCCACCAAGUAUCAAACACUUGCACCUUCUCUAUGUUCCAACAAAUGAAACUACGUUUUCAUCUAUUGUAAAUAUCUUACUUUCAAGUUGCUGCCCUGCAUUUAUAUCUUUGAACCCACAUUCUAAAGCGUUCAUUGAGGUAUGUCAUUCUCUCCCAUGUUCCUUUAAUUUCAAGUUGUGCUUCCAGCAGUGAAAUUCUUACAUAUUAUAUUGUGAAUUUGUGAUUGUACUAUAAAAGGUUUGUCAUCUAUAUUUUCCUUUUAUAUCAAACACAUUUCAUUUAUGCUUAAAAUGUGUUUGAAUCGGGUCUUUGAGUAAGAAUUAUUUGCUAAAAACAGGACAAAGUUGAGUAAACAAAAGAUUGGUGAGUUUCUUCCUUUUCUGACGUCGCCUCUGUUUGAAGGCAGUAACUCGCACCAUUGCAAUCUAUGUUUAUAUUAAUUACCCUAUGAUUCUACAUCCAACUUCUCUUAUUGCUCCAAUUUUCUUUCCUUCAACUAUUUUGUUCAAUUUUGAGUUUAAUAUCUUCUGCAGAGCAUUCAUUGAGUUCUUAUAUGAGACGCUAAUGGAAAGAAAGGGGGAUGACUGCUUUUGCAGUUCUAGUGAUACUAAGUGUUGGUGGCAUGGCUUGAAGAAUGUGAAAGUCAUAAGCUCGGUGAAGAUUGAUGAGAAUAUUGAUUUCAAGACCAU
Molecule: RNA transcript, 2178 nt
Organism: Medicago truncatula (barrel medic)
Lineage: Eukaryota; Viridiplantae; Streptophyta; Magnoliopsida; Fabales; Fabaceae
Gene name: F-box/FBD/LRR-repeat protein At1g16930
Exons: 4
Source: RefSeq, a predicted model, not a curated record